UUCCCGAGUGUUUGAAAAGUUGUCUCGGCAUAUUCUUUGAGUGGUUCCGGGCAUUAGCUAGGUGUGGGUUAACGCCUCCACAUGGCCAAUGAUACGUAGCGGACUUGAGGAGGGUAUUCGCCACAUUGGACUGGAGACACGGCCCAAACUCUACGGGAGGCAGCAGUAGGGAUCUCCACAUGACGAAAGUCUGAUGAAGCACGCGCGUGAGUGAGAUGGGUUUCGCUCGUAAACUCUGUCGUUAAAGAGACAUAUCUGAGAGUAACUGUCAGGUAUGACUGGUAUUUAUCCAGAAAGGCCACGGCUAACUACGUGCCAGCAGCCGCGGUAAUACGUAGAUGCCAAGCGUCGUCCGGAUUUAUUGGGCGUAAAGCGAGCGCAGGCGGUUUUUUAAGUCUGAUGUGAAAGCCUUCGGCUCAACCGAAGAAGUGCAUCGGAAACUGGGAAACUUGAGUGCAGAAGAGGACAGUGGAACUUCAUGUGUAGCGGUGAAAUGCGUAGAUAUAUGGAAGAACACCAGUGGCGAAGGCGGCUCUUUGGUCUGUAACUGACGCUGAGGCUCGAAAGUAUGGGUAGCAAACAUGAUUAGAUACCAUGCUAGUCCAUACUGUACACGAUGAUUGAUAAGUGUUGGAGGCUUUCCGCCUUUCCGUGCUGCAGCUAACGCAUUAAGCAUUCCGCAUGGGGAGUACGUCCGCAAGGCUGAAACUCAAAGGAAUUGACGGGGGCCCGCACAAGCGGUGGAGCAUGUGGUUUAAUUUGUAGCUACGGGAAGAACCUUACCAGGUCUUGACGUAUUAUGCAAAUAUAAGAGAUUAGACGUUCCAUUUGGGGACAUGGAUACAGGUGGUGCACAACAGUCGUCAGCUCGUGUCGUGAGAUGUUGGGUUAAGUCCCGCAACGAGCGCAACCCUUAUUAUCAGUGGCCAGCUCUAAGUUGGGCACUCUGGUGAGAGUGCCGGCGACAAACCGGUGGAAGGUGGGGAUGACGUCAUAUCAUCUUGCCCCUUAUGACCUGCCAACACACCCGUUACAACACAUGGUACAACGAGUUGCGAACUGACCAGAGUAAAGUAAUCUCUUAAAGCCUUUUUCAGUUCGGAUCCUAGGGGGCAAAUUGCUUACAUGAAGUUAGCAUCUGUUUGUAAUGGCGGAUCAGCAUGCCGCGGCAGGACGUUCCCGGGCAUUGUACCCACCGCCAUCACACCAAGAGUAGUUCUAACAGCCAGCAGUCGGCAGGUAACCAGUUAGGAACCAGCCGCACGAAUAGUGACAGAUCGG
Molecule: ribosomal RNA, 1281 nt
Filed under: Lactiplantibacillus plantarum
Lineage: Bacteria; Bacillati; Bacillota; Bacilli; Lactobacillales; Lactobacillaceae
Description: bacterial SSU rRNA
Rfam family: Bacterial small subunit ribosomal RNA
Source: RNAcentral